AAUGAACGCUGGCGGCGUGCCUAACACAUGCAAGUCGAGCGAGAAAGCUUCUUCGGAAGUGAGUACAGCGGCGGACGGGUGAGUAACACGUGAGAAUCUACCCUUUAGUGAAGAAUACCUUUGAGAAAUCAAAGUUAAUACUGCAUAUGUCCCUUCGGGGAGAAAGAUGGCCUCUUUGCUGUCGCUAAAGGAUGAGCUUGCGGACUAUUAGCUUGUUGGUGGGGUAAAGGCCUACCAAGGCGAUGAUGGAUAGCCGGCCUGAGAGGGUGUACGGCCACACUGGAACUUAGACACGGUCCAGACUCCUACGGGAGGCUG
This 318-nucleotide ribosomal RNA is filed under the name uncultured bacterium. RNAcentral describes it as "bacterial SSU rRNA". It matches the Rfam family "Bacterial small subunit ribosomal RNA", at positions 29 to 351 of the family's 1533-position model. The record is from RNAcentral.